RNAcentral lists this ribosomal RNA (253 nucleotides) under uncultured bacterium. RNAcentral describes it as "partial 16S ribosomal RNA". It matches the Rfam family "Bacterial small subunit ribosomal RNA", at positions 524 to 776 of the family's 1533-position model. The record is from RNAcentral.
UACGUAGGCAGCAAGCGUUGUUCGGAGUUACUGGGCGUAAAGAGCGUGUAGGCGGCUAGGUAGGUCCGUUGUGAAAACUCGAGGCUCAACCUCGAGACGUCGAUGGAAACCAUCUAGCUAGAGUCCGGAAGAGGAGAGUGGAAUUCCUGGUGUAGCGGUGAAAUGCGCAGAUAUCAGGAAGAACACCCGUGGCGAAGGCGGCUCUCUGGUACGUGACUGACGCUGAGACGCGAAAGCGUGGGGAGCGAACAGG